Molecule: non-coding RNA, 921 nt
Filed under: Ptenopus garrulus (Whistling gecko)
Lineage: Eukaryota; Metazoa; Chordata; Lepidosauria; Squamata; Gekkonidae
Description: 12S rRNA
Rfam family: Bacterial small subunit ribosomal RNA
Source: RNAcentral
ACCGCCUUGGCCCUGAGCGCAUUCUUGUACCCCCCUCGAUUACACAUGCAAGCAUCCACAUACCUGUGAGGACACACAUCAUACCUGACCACAUGACAUCAGGCACGCCCAACCCAUGAGCAGCCCAUGACGUCUAGCCCAUGCCACACCCCCACGGAACUCAGCAGUGAUUAAUUUUCGGCCAUGGGCACACGCCCGACCAAGAGUUAGGGACCAGAGCCGGCCAACCUCGUGCCAGCCGCCGCGGUUACACGGGGGGCUCAAAACAACUACACCUCGGCGUAAAUAGUGACUAGAGCACCACCUUGGAGAACAAACUACACUAUCGUUGUAAAAUACACAUAGUAAUCAGCCACCUACAACCAACCCCAAAACAGCCUUGACCCCACGAAACCUAGGUCACAAACUAGGAUUAGAUACCCUACUAUGCCUAGGCCUAAACCACGGCACCUGCCCGCCAGAACACUACAGACGAAAGCCUGAAACUCAAAGGGCUUGACGGUGUCUUAAAUCCACUUAGAGGAGCCUGUCCAAUAAUCGACACCCCACGAAAAACCCAACCACCCCUCGCAAAACCCCGCUUAUAUACCGCCGUCACCAGCUCAUCCCACAAGGGACCCCCAAUGAGCACAACAAUUCGCACAUUAACAAGUCAGGUCAAGGUGUAGCUAAUGCGGUGGACAGGAGAUGGGCUACAUUGUCUUCACCAAGACAUCACCGUAAGUGAAAUGAAACUGCACCCAAAGACGGAUUUAACAGUAAACCGAGUGAGUCUAACUCUGCUGAAGUUGGCCCUAAGACGCGUACACACCGCCCGUCACCCCCAUCAAAACCCAUAACACCACAUAACUAAUAUGAUAAAACUCAAAAGAUGGGGCAAGUCGUAACAUGGUAAGUGUACUGGAAAGUGCACUUGGCAAA